Molecule: non-coding RNA, 944 nt
Organism: Physcomitrium patens
Lineage: Eukaryota; Viridiplantae; Streptophyta; Bryopsida; Funariales; Funariaceae
Source: RefSeq, a predicted model, not a curated record
CGGCACAGAGCAAUAUCUAGCCCGAUCGAUACUUCGAUCCACAACUAGGCAGGUUAAAGAGCUCGAUCGAACGGCUUGGGAAGUGCGUUGUUAACGACCAACUUAGAAACGGGGCCACUGAACGGCAUCGAAUGAAUACAUCUCCCCGUGGCAUAUCCUCCGACGCCGUUCCAUUCGAGCUCAGCUCUUAACUGCAACCAAGCUCUACAGUAAUCACGUCACACGUGUCCUGGAACUGGCACAAAAUAAGUGAACUCUUCCAGCGCCUUAAGCAGCAGCUCGUGUUACCCAGAAUUCCUGCGAUUACGGUGAGCGUUGCCACACUGCAAGCGACGUGUCACCCCGAGCGACAAGACGGCCACAAGGUCAGAAUUAUCCAGAAAAGAAAACAGCGUGGUCAAGCAGCCCCAGUGGGACACAUUGUGGCGUGGUGCCUUCGACAAGAGUCCACACCAUUGAUGCGUGGUGGCACAUCUCGAGAAUCAGCCAGGGUGCAUGGAAUUUACGACGACGGGGAAUCGUGCAGUGGGAAGAAUGUAAAAGAGAGUGAGAGACUGUGACAGGCACUCACUCAGUCACCAAUCUCUCAACAACCAUUUGCACUCUUUGUGUGCACGGACUACAUUUCUUCGCAUUGUCAGAACCAUGUCUGGACUUUGCCCAGGCUCCUCAGGGCAGAUUUGGCGUUGCUUGAGAACGAAUGGUGUGAUUUUACUGCGAAAUUAUCGUACUCAACUUAAGCUUUGUUUAAGCCAGACCUUCCUGUUUCGGUGGCUCCGAAGGUGGAAGAAUGCGGUCAAGGGUGAAUUUUUAUUUUUAUUUCUUUCUAUGGAGUUCAUGCUAUAAUAGGAGAUGACCCAACGCUAAUUCAUGGGUUGUUGCUAAUCAAAUUCUUUUUAUUCGUUCAUUUUAUUCUAAUGAUUCUUCACCUCACCUUCAUAUGA